RNAcentral lists this ribosomal RNA (465 nucleotides) under uncultured bacterium. Its description in RNAcentral is "partial 16S ribosomal RNA". It matches the Rfam family "Bacterial small subunit ribosomal RNA", at positions 338 to 795 of the family's 1533-position model. The record is from RNAcentral.
CCUACGGGAGGCAGCAGUAGGGAAUCUUCCACAAUGGACGAAAGUCUGAUGGAGCAACGCCGCGUGAGUGAAGAAGGGUUUCGGCUCGUAAAGCUCUGUUGGUAGUGAAGAAAGAUAGAGGUAGUAACUGGCCUUUAUUUGACGGUAAUUACUUAGAAAGUCACGGCUAACUACGUGCCAGCAGCCGCGGUAAUACGUAGGUGGCAAGCGUUGUCCGGAUUUAUUGGGCGGAAAGGGAGUGCAGGCGGUUCAAUAAGUCUGAUGUGAAAGCCUUCGGCUCAACCGGAGAAUUGCAUCAGAAACUGGUGAACUCGAGUGCAGAAGAGGAGAGUGGAACGCCAUGUGUAGCGGUGGAAUGCGUAGAUAUAGGGAAGAACAACAGUGGCGAAGGCGGCUUGCUGGUCUGCAACUGACGCUGAGGCUCGAAAGCAUGGGUAGCGAACAGGAUUAGAUACCCCUGUAGUC